Orussus abietinus is the source of this 3008-nucleotide long non-coding RNA. RefSeq lists it as uncharacterized. The transcript has 4 exons. The record is from RefSeq and is a predicted model, not a curated record. NCBI's taxonomy places the organism in Eukaryota, Metazoa, Arthropoda, Insecta, Hymenoptera, Orussidae.
AGGUCGUGGUGGUCCCGGACUCCUUCCCUCUCCCAUGUCCGUGCAAGAUGGGCGGCGACUUCCGGGUGGCGGUCCCACUGGCGCUGUUGGUCAUCAAGUUGGACCCAUGGGUGGUUCCAUGGUUGGGCAUCAGGAAAUCCGACGUCGCCGAUGAACGAGGGUCAACGAGGAAUAAAUCAUCAGUUAGAAAGUAUUGGGGAUGAUUCCUGCGUGUUGGCACGAAAGGCUGGUUGGAGAACACGGCUCACCACCGACAGACACACUGACUGUUGACAAUAGGAAUCACUCGCAAGGGCGCGCCUAAAGAACAAGGACCUCGCGCGUUAACAAAUCGGUCUCGUCAAUUCAAUUUCCACUUCCUCGAGCAACGUCAGGACUCUCGUCGGAGGGCUUUUCUCUCAGCUGCUACGAGAACGAUCCGAGAGGUGCGUUAAAAAUUAAUAAUAAAAAAAGAAACAAAAACAAGGGGGAGAGAGAGAGAAAGAGAGAGAGAGAGGAAAUAAUUAAGUCCUACGGGGUGAAGAACGGCGGGACCUGCACGUAACGUCUCGUCUCACUUUCAUGGUUGCCUUACGCAUCUACAUAAAAAAUUGCGUGUCAGUAUGUAUAUAUAACUUGGAUAUCUAUUUAUAUAUCUAUAUAUGUACAACGAAAGGAUUCGACAACGAUUCAAUUUUCUUUUUUUGUUCUUUUCAACUAGGAAAGAGGUGCGCCCGUGAAAACAACGCGUCAAGACACUCAACACAUCCUCGAAGAGCCCCUCGUCAGGUGUCGUGCACUCUUAUGGUAAAUAUGCGCCGCUAAAGACACCGGGCAUUGUUUAAAAACGAGGUGAAAAAUAACAAAAAAAAAAUAAAAAUAAAAAGAGAAACAAAGAAAACAUCGAAUGAACUAACUAAGGCAACGAGGCUCCGGCGAUCCCGCACGCAGAAGGGGAUUCCGAUGUCAACGCGUUAAAAGGAAUUUCACCCUUCUUCUCCCGUACUUCCACCUCUUUUGCACCUUCGACCUCGAACACCGGGAAAAUGCAACUCGAUCGGUGUUGCGGUUAAACAGUGGAUGCACAGUUUCCCAGAUAACGCGCGACACUCUUGGCCGAGUGCCAGGUAACGAUCGCUUACAUGAUCUAUCGUUUGAUUGUACAGGACUAAAAGUAAUUAUGUACAUGUAAUUGUAAAGAGUGGAGUAAAUGGCGGACUAGUGGGAAGGUCAUUAAAUCCCAUUUUCCCGGUCUCGGAUAAUGGCCGAUAACGAGGCUGACCGAGGCCUGCUUAUCGUCGCCAUCGGACAAGGUAACGAUUCCGAUGAGCCUGAACACCCAGCAUCGAGACCAUCAGAAUUCGGCAAAGCGUUCCGAUUUCCGGAUCGAGUCGGGUGAUCGAGACUAGGAGGCACUGAUCGAUAAUAUUAACUGGAUAGCUGAUACUUAUUUCUCGUCCAUACGGAAAGGUGAGGGAGAAACUCAAGGCACAGCCGGCACCUCUGAAUACGUCAGAGGCAUCAAAGAAGUACCGUCUACGCAUGUGCAGAGGGAGCUGCAGUGCCCUGAAGUUCUUUUUCCAAUAAUCGUGCGGAUACUCCUUUCGAAAGACGCGCCGCUGCCGACGCAUGCGCGGAUACUACAGUGUCUGUUGACGUGCCCGAAAUCGGAGGCACGUGGUCGCUAUCAAUCGCCACGCCAUUUUGUGGGGGGUAGCAGCUAUCCGGUUAAGCUAGAGAUCAGAGCUCGGAGGUCGAAGGUGCAAGGGCGAGAACCACCAGAGACUACGGGUCACAGCCCCGUUCAGGAACGAGGAUCGUCCCGAAGGGCUUCGGAAGCAUCCUGGGAUUUGUCUCGAUAUUCGGGCCCCUCCUGAUUUCUCACCGGAGCGAUCCUCGCGCGUGCUUAUCUAAACAAACCAGAAUGCAUUAAUCCUAGAUUCGAUAAGAAACGAUUCGCGAGUUCUAUGGCUAGGGAUCUCUCGUUUUACGUCUAGACUAAAAUUAGAAGCGUUUCUCGUCCUGUAUUCAGCGCCUGAGGGAGGUUCUCUCAUUUUCGGAUCGGCGGGGAAAGCCGGCGCAAGCCCACGCAAGGGUGACUCCCAUCAAUGGCCUUUGGCACGGUCGAGUUUGGCAUUCGGUGGCUCAAGGACGAAUCCCUGCGUCGAUAAGCAUGCGUUUAAGUCGAGACCCUGUUAGGAAGCGUUCUAUGGCAUGAAAACACAGAAUUCUGAGGUAGGAACCCGUUAGUAGGCGGAAGGAAGAGAGAACGGAGUGGCUCGCCUUUGGCACGACCGCGUACUUCUGGGUGUAAGGUCUCCGCUUUACUUCGCCUAGUUUCUUCCGACCGACCCACUCUUCCAUCGGUCCAUCGCGUAAAGGAAACUAGACGCGCUCGCAAGGUUUUACUUUUCCCUCGUUCCGGCGACUCUACACUUUCUACGGUCAGGCACAUAGAAUUAUAGUCCCAGUCAAUGCCUCCGACGAACCAACGCGCCAUCUUCGAAACUCCCCUAUCUUCGGCGUAUCGUACAUAUUCUCAAUGUCUCUCGGACUCCCCCUGUACGCGACGUAAUAUUAAAUCUUGUUUAAAAGGAGUCUACUCCAGCGCCACUCGGCGCGUCGGGAGCCAUCUAACUCCCGAGAAGGAACUAAAGUUUCAAGAUGGCCGCCGCGUCUCAAGAUGGCGGACCGACCGAUCGGCGUCGUCUCUUCGAGGGAGAACUCGCCCCGAAUCUCGACGAAAACUCCUCGCGAGUCCCUCAAUUUCGCCCUUCGCUCUUCGAUCACAACUGCCUGAGGUACGUUCGAACGGGAAUUCUAACCUCUAAUCCGAGUCUCGGGUACGUUCCAGGGAUAUAAAACUCGAAGACGGACAUCGAACGGUAACCUCGGUCGGGUCUUUCUCCCGAGUCCAGUCCUCGGGCUUCGAGGCUCCCUCUCUUUCUCUCUUUGACGGCGCCUCGCCAUAACCUCAAAACUCUGCCCCUCUCUGUCCCUUUUCUCUCUCUCUCCGUGGCGCGAGCCGG